CCAGGAUAUCUAGUCAGGCUGAACACAUUAUACAAUUUCCAUUUACAUAAUCUUUCAUUCUCCUUUUCCCUCAGUCAGCAUUAUCAAUCACAUACAAACAAGCAAAAUGAUAAUUUAUGCCAAACAGACAACAUACAGCAUCAAUAUCCCGAUCAUUCAAUCCAUAAUCAAUAAAACAGUAAAAUAUGCACACGAAACUAUAAAAUGAAAACAUCGAACCUCAUGC
Molecule: long non-coding RNA, 226 nt
Filed under: Carica papaya (papaya)
Lineage: Eukaryota; Viridiplantae; Streptophyta; Magnoliopsida; Brassicales; Caricaceae
Description: long non-coding RNA (CPAP_LNC016232)
Source: RNAcentral